This 272-nucleotide microRNA precursor is filed under the name Salicornia europaea (common glasswort). RNAcentral's name for it is "miR11042 stem-loop (seu-MIR11042)". Lineage: Eukaryota; Viridiplantae; Streptophyta; Magnoliopsida; Caryophyllales; Amaranthaceae. The record is from miRBase by way of RNAcentral.
AUAAUGUUGGGUCGAGUGACAAGAAAAGUAAAGCAAGUUGCUCUUGUUUUGACUCAAUAGCCACUUGAAAUGGCAUUUUCCCUUCACGAUUCUUUAUUUUCCAUGGAGUGAAGUAAUUAGUUGCCUCAUUAGAGAUCUCACUGGCUGAUGAUGUUACUUCUUUUUGGUACUCACGUACAACAAUUAUCCCUAUCUCUUCAUUACUAUUUCUUGCUGCAAUGUGUAAUGGAGUGUCACCCCUUUCCUUUUCAGUCGUCUGACAAACUAAAUUC